This is a long non-coding RNA of Cyprinus carpio carpio, 353 nucleotides long. Lineage: Eukaryota; Metazoa; Chordata; Actinopteri; Cypriniformes; Cyprinidae. The record is from Ensembl.
GAGUGUUGGUUUUCUUUUUAGACAGAUCUAAGAAUGACAUUAUAUGGUGAAUUUGGUCUACAUCUAUUGCUUAAUUAUCGCCUGUUGCUAUGCUGGAAUGGAGCUGAUGAAGAUGGAUGUCUCGGAUGAGUGCCAUGCACUUUACCUUUGAGCUUGGGCUGCACAAACCGUGUAAAGCCGAAGACAUCAGUCAAUAUGUUUCCAACUGUGGGGGGCCAUGAUGAGAAGAUAUUCCUAAAACGUGACGGAUGAACGCAAAAGAAAAUAUGUGAUUCUGCGACGAGCUUGCAGAGGAGUAUUUACAUUAACUAAUAAAAUAAUCGAAAAGAUCCAUUGUUUGGAGCAUAUUUGAG